AUUCGGUCCCUGAAUUUAUCAAUUUGCAUCAAUUAGAUCCUCGUUACUUCAUUUUGACGCCUCACAUUGCGAAACUGCAUCAUUUAGGUCCCUCAUUUGGAUCCAAAAUGAUACAAAUUUUGCAAAGUGAUGAACCUAAAUGAUGUAUCGAAGACCAAAUUCAUGCAAUCGUGAAAAGUUAGAGACCAAAUUGCCUAUUUACUCAAAAAGAAAAAAAAUUGAGUGUACUAAAAAGAAAAGUGAAGCUACUGUUGGAUUGGUCCCCAUCUCUCUCUUCCAUGUCUCUUAGCCCAACAACCCUAAAACAACAGACCUAUUGCCAGCGCGUCCAGUUCUAUUAGGCGGGUCGAGCAUCGCCAACAUCUGGAUCAAAAAGCUAGGGUCCUCUUUUUUCUCCCGGUUAUCUUCGUUCAUGGUGGCCCUUCUCUUUCUUCUCCAUCUCUUCUCUUUUAUCCCCUUUCCUUUUCUCAGAUAGAUGCGGGUGGCCUUUUAAGGUCAUCACUCGGAGUUGCUGCUCUAGGUCACGUUAGGUGGAUCCUUAGUGCUGGUUGACCUCCGAUCCAGUCGCUGGUCUAGGCACUCCUUCACGUGGUCGAUCUUCGCUCAAUACAGUGAAGCUUCUGUCACAGCUGUGAGUCUCGCCGGUCACUGAUUUCGCCAGUCGUGGGUCUCGCCAGCAUCCCCCGAACCCUACCUUGCUUUCUAAUAUUCGCGAAUCGGCUAGGCUUAGUCACCUCGAUCCAGGCGCGGUUGAGCAUUGCCUCAGUCACUGUCCAAAUGGCAAUAGUGGCUGAUCUCAGCCUCGGUCCAGGUGGCGGCUCAAUCUCUCUACCAGCUCAUUAUCGACAACUAGUGGAGUUGACAGCUAUCUCUGACAUCUCUGCCCACAGAUUUUAGACGAAGACGGUAUUUGAUGGUGUCUCGGAGGGUCGCGCCUUCUCCUUCUCCGAGCAGACUUGUAGCAGAAAUUGAAGGCGACUUUCUACUCCUUGGUUGUCAUCAACUUCGACUAUCCAUUGCUCGCCUCAUAACCGACCUUUCGCCCCUUGACCAACAGCACUAGCGGCACAACGGCGACAUCCUCCAUCUCCCCAUAUGUCCGACUCUCUCCCUGCUCAAUGGCAGCUUUCAUUCUACGGAUACCCACCUUCGCCCCUGUCACUAAUCUCCACCCUCCAUCACAAAGGAUUGCACUUGAGCUUUGCGUCCAAAAUUAUUGAUUGGUUAUAUAAGUACACGAGCUCGCUCCAAGUGUGAAUUACAUUAAUAUUUUGAAUAAUAAAAUCAUAUUAAAAACAUAAAUGAUAUAAAAAAGCUAAGAUAUAUAUUCAAAAUGAAUACACAUUGGAGAAAUCCCUCCUCACUGUUUUUCCCUCAACUUCACUUUACUUUUUCCUCAAUUU
Non-coding RNA from Punica granatum (pomegranate), 1403 nucleotides. Lineage: Eukaryota; Viridiplantae; Streptophyta; Magnoliopsida; Myrtales; Lythraceae. The record is from RefSeq and is a predicted model, not a curated record.